RNAcentral lists this unclassified non-coding RNA (133 nucleotides) under uncultured Dothideomycetes. RNAcentral's name for it is "sequence contains ITS2". The record is from RNAcentral. Lineage: Eukaryota; Fungi; Ascomycota; Dothideomycetes.
CCCACUCCUUUAUAAGGGUUUUGAGAGGAUGCUCCUCUCUAACGUGGCACGCUUGCGAACCGAUACCAAUCUCAGUGUAGUAAAUUUUAUCAUCACGAAAGAGAAGUUGAGGCCGCCUGAAUCAAACUUUGUA